GGGGCAGCAGCGUCGGGUAUCCGAAAGGACCCGGUGGCUUCGCAUGAAUGGCCAUAGCAACGCGCAACGCUGCCCCAU
Molecule: non-coding RNA, 78 nt
Filed under: unclassified sequences
Source: RNAcentral